RNAcentral lists this ribosomal RNA (399 nucleotides) under uncultured bacterium. RNAcentral's name for it is "bacterial SSU rRNA". It matches the Rfam family "Bacterial small subunit ribosomal RNA", at positions 64 to 507 of the family's 1533-position model. The record is from RNAcentral.
UAGGGGGUGUAGCAAUACAUCACCGGCGGACGGGUGCGUAACGCGUGGGAAUAUACCUAUUGGUUCGGAACAACUGAGGGAAACUUCAGCUAAUACCGAAUGUGCCCUAACGGGGAAAGAUUUAUCGCCAAUGGAUUAGCCCGCGUCCGAUUAGCUAGUUGGUGGGGUAAUGGCCCACCAAGGCUCCGAUCGGUAGCUGUUCUGAGAGGAAGAUCAGCCACACUGGGACUGAGACACGGCCCAGACUCCUACGGGAGGCAGCAGUUGGGAAUCUUGGACAAUGGGCGAAAGCCUGAUCCAGCCAUGCCGCGUGGGUGAAGAAGGCCCUAGGGUUGUAAACCCCUUUCAGCGGGGAAGAUAAUGACGGUACCCGCAGAAGAAGCCCCGGCUAACUCCGUG